CCUACGGGUGGCUGCAGUGAGGAAUAUUGGUCAAUGGCCGGAAGGCUGAACCAGCCAUGCCGCGUGAAGGUCAGUGCCCUAUGGGCGUUAAACUUCUUUUGUGCGGGAGCAAUAAUGGUCACGUGUGGCCAGACGAGAGUACCGUACGAAUAAGCAUCAGCUAACUCCGUGCCAGCAGCCGCGGUAAUACGGAGGAUGCGAGCGUUAUCCGGAUUUAUUGGGUUUAAAGGGUGCGUAGGCGGGAUGCCAAGUCAGCGGUAAAAAUGCGGUGCUCAACGCCGUCGAGCAGUUGAAACUGGCGUUAUUGAGUGGGCGAGAAGUAUGCGGAAUGCGUGGUGUAGCGGUGAAAUGCAUAGAUAUCACGCAGAACUCCGAUGGCGAAGGCAGCAUACCGGCGCCCUACUGACGUUGAGGCUCGAAGGCGUGGGGAGCAAACAGGAUUAGAUACCCGGGUAGUC
Molecule: ribosomal RNA, 458 nt
Filed under: uncultured bacterium
Lineage: Bacteria
Description: partial 16S ribosomal RNA
Rfam family: Bacterial small subunit ribosomal RNA
Source: RNAcentral